This 497-nucleotide ribosomal RNA is filed under the name uncultured bacterium. RNAcentral's name for it is "partial 16S ribosomal RNA". It matches the Rfam family "Bacterial small subunit ribosomal RNA", at positions 28 to 507 of the family's 1533-position model. The record is from RNAcentral.
GAUGAACGCUGGCGGCGUGCCUAAUACAUGCAAGUCGAGCGAACAGAUGAGGAGCUUGCUCCUCUGACGUUAGCGGCGGACGGGUGAGUAACACGUGGAUAACCUACCUAUAAGACUGGGAUAACUUCGGGAAACCGGAGCUAAUACCGGAUAAUAUAUUGAACCGCAUGGUUCAAUAGUGAAAGACGGUUUUGCUGUCACUUAUAGAUGGAUCCCCGCCGCAUUAGCUAGUUGGUAAGGUAACGGCUUACCAAGGCAACGAUGCGUAGCCGACCUGAGAGGGUGAUCGCCCACACUGGAGCUGAGACGCGGUCCAGACUCCUACGGGAGGCAGCAAUAGGGAAUCUUCCGCAAUGGGCGAAAGCCUGACGGAGCAACGCCGCGUGAGUGAUGAAGGUCUUCGGAUCGUAAAACUCUGUUAUUAGGGAAGAACAAAUGUGUAAGUAACUAUGCACGUCUUGACGGUACCUAAUCAGAAAGCCACGGCUAACUACGUG